Molecule: long non-coding RNA, 2871 nt
Organism: Orcinus orca (killer whale)
Lineage: Eukaryota; Metazoa; Chordata; Mammalia; Artiodactyla; Delphinidae
Exons: 4
Source: RefSeq, a predicted model, not a curated record
CCCUUCCAGUGCCACUUGUGAGCUCUAACAACCAAAGAAACGAAGAAACAACGACUAAGACAGAGGCCAAGAAAAAGACUUGGAGCAGAUGGAACCUUCCCGGAUAUGUUGUCACACCCCAGAUCAGCUCAGUUCACAUUUCCCAAGGUCAUGUAACUUCUUUUUUUUUUUUUUUGCGGUACGCGGGCCUCUCACUGCUGUGGCCUCUCCCAUUGCGGAGCACAGGCUCCGGAUGCGCAGGCUUAGCAGCCAUGGCUCACGGGCCCAGCCGCUCCGCGGCAUGUGGGAUCCUCCCGGACCAAGGCACGAACCCGCGUCCCCUGCAUCGGCAGGCGGACUCUCAACCACUGUGCCACCAGGGAAGCCCAGGUCAUGUAACUUCUACUUUUAAACCUCAGGGAAGUAACUGCAAGUGCACCCAUGUGUAAAGAUGUAAUUGUGUACGCAUGUAUGCUGCUGGUGUUUCUGUGCAUCUGUGGAUUUGAGCAACUCCAUGCUCAAAAGCAAGGCUGAUAUUCAAAAUAGAUAAAAACUAGCUCACCACAGAGACUGACUAAUCAAGGCAAAUGCCAACCUGUACGUCAGACCAGGGCACGCUGACUGCACAAAGCCCAGCGCGUUUCCACUCCACCUGCUGUGGCUGAGAUGGGACUUCAGAGUAGGGGAGCAGCUAAGCUGGUUCUUGAUUUCCUUGGUCUUGUGAUGUGUCACUGAGGGUGGGUCUGGGUCCAGAAGCUACUGGACUCAGAUGGCUAUAAACAUUGUAUUUGGAAUAGACAUAUAGACUGGGCAUAAGGAAGAACAGGCAACUGCCUUUCAAGCCUUACAUAAGGGUACACACUCCCCUUUAGUCUGGCUUAGAGGGAUAGGAUUCCAACCAUUUUCAAAGGCUGGGUUGACUUCCAUGCUGGGUGACUGGCAGUACACAAUCGCUUCUCCUAGUGAAUGUCUACCUUGUGUCAAGUACAUUAGGCUCUUUAUAUAGGUAACAGUAUAUUAAAUGGGACUCUUCCCAUCUCAAGAUUUGGACAGAGGCCUCAAAGGUGAGGAAAAGAAUAAUAGGGAUCAGCUAUGAUCAGCUACCACAUUCUAAAUCAAGAUGCUAGACUAGAGACUUUCCUGGUGGUGCAGGGGUUAAGAAUCCGCCUGCCAAUGCAGGGGACACGGGUUCAAGCCCUGGUCUGGGAAGAUCCCACAUGCCGCGGGGCAGCUAAGCCCGUGCGCCACAACUACUGAGCCUGCGCUCUAGAGCUCGCGAACCACAACGACUGAGCCUGUGCACCACAACUACUGAAGCCCACGCGCCUAGAGCCCGUGCUGUGCAACAAGAGAAGCCACCGCAAUGAGAAGCCCGCGCACUGCAGCAAAGAGUAGCCCCCGCUCGCCACAACUAGAGAAAGCCCGCACACAGCAACAAAAACCCAAUGCAGCCAAAAAUAAAUAAGAUGCUAGACUAUAUCUCAGAUUUGUAAAACGGAUGGUCCAUAGGCCUUUACUCCCCUCCAGACUGUAUAACAGAGGGCUAAGAGCUGAGGCUGAAAGGCAGGUGGUAUUGAAGGUCUGUCUGGAGUGAGUUGUCACUUCCUUCCUCCCCCAGCCAAGGGGAAGGUUUAGGUGUCGAUUCUGUCUUUCACCCACUUAAGAGGGGAAUUGCAGAAAAGAACUCCAAGAGCUAUUGGAGUAUGAGGGACAGAGGGACUCAGGACUGAAAAUAAUCUAGCAGUGAUUGUGGCUGGCUUGUGGGCCUGGAUAGUGAGUCUAAAAAACUGUCUUGGGUGUGAGCCGUACCUCCAGAGCUUAGCAGAGCAUGGAUGUUUGUAUGUUUUCCAAGGGCCAGAUGUGGACUGCCCAAGAGGGCUGCCUGGAAUGGAGAGGUGCCCCACGUAGGGAAAGACUACCAGAAGCCAUGUGGCUGAGAGGGAAUCACAAGUGGCCAGAGAGAGGAGGUACCGAAAACAGACAGAUCUUGGACAAUGACAGUGAGCUAUCAUAACCAGGCAGACUCCAUUUUCAGCUUCUGUUCCAGACAUGUUUUCUUUACUGGAGAAGACAUCCCUUGGCACCUGAUGAGCCAGAAGAAGCCAGAAGGAUAGAGGAAAAUUCCUUCCUCCCCAACACCUGUUAAUAAAGAUCACCCAAAGCAGUUUACUUUCAACUGGCAGGGCCAGCAAUACACUUUUACUCUCCCUCCUCAAGGCUUUAUCAACUACACGGAUGCUAUCAUGCUAGAUGGAUCUGGUGGAAGUGGACUUCAUACGUGAUUGGACUUGAGCAAGACCUAAAGGCAAAAGCAAGUUGCAGGAACAAGUGCCUCAGGUUCCCAUGGCCCCUAUUCCUGCAAAACUGCCUCCUCUUUCUCACACCUCUGGCCUCGUGAGAAGUUCUCUAUGACCAGCUGACUGAGGAAUGAAAAAAGUCUGACCUGCUUGACUGCUGGUUCUGCAUGGUAUGAGUUGGUUCUGCAGGAUUUGAAUUAUUUCUACCAGAAGGUGGAAAGUUGCAGCACUGCUGCCCCACUCAGAGAGGACCCUAAAGUAGCGGUCCCCAACCUUUCUGGCACCAGGGACCGUUUCAUGGAAAACAAUUUUUCCACGGAUGGUGGGGGAUGGGGGAUGGCUCAGGCCGUAAUGCGAGCAAUGGGGAGCGACAGAUGAAGCUUUGCUCGCCCACCGCUCACCUCCUGUUGUGUGGCUCCAGGGGUUGGGGACCCGUCCCUAAAGAAUAAUGGUAAAGGAAAAUCUUCCAGUGCGUAAACCUUUGAGCAGUACACAUGGUUGCUCAUUUUGCCUGGAAGGAGAGAUGGCCAGAGGUAUAGACAUACACUAAAAAAAAGCGUGUGAAAAAAAAUAAAAUUAAAUUUUAAAAAGAAGU